CUUUAUUUAAAAAAUACACUGACCUUCUGAAGAUUGAAAGAUUUGCAUUUGUAUAUGGAUUUCCACCCAAAAACUCAGAACGUUUUACUAAGUAAUUGAAGUAUUUAUGAACUUUAAUCACAACUGGGAAAGGAGACAAUUAAUUUGACCAACAAAGCCCCACAAACAGCAAUUUAUGGGGCCGGUUGAAUAUUGUCUGUAUUCUGCCUAUCACGAACAACAAAAGGAACACGCUGUUUGAUUCAGUCAGCCAAUUGUUGGAAAAUAUGGCAUAUAAAAUUCAAGGUACCUUCGGAUUUACUAUGGUGGUUCAAAUGCAGACAUCGGCAGAUUAAAAACAUCAUGACAGCUUCCAGGUGCUGCCAGACCCGUUCAGUUUCUCCAGAAUUCUCUGUGUUUAUUUCAGCUUUCUGUCCAGUUCAUCUGUAACCAAAGA
Hemiscyllium ocellatum (epaulette shark) is the source of this 436-nucleotide long non-coding RNA. RefSeq lists it as uncharacterized. The record is from RefSeq and is a predicted model, not a curated record. The transcript is spliced from 4 exons. Lineage: Eukaryota; Metazoa; Chordata; Chondrichthyes; Orectolobiformes; Hemiscylliidae.